UUCUCUAUCAUGCCAAACCACACUUGAG
Molecule: unclassified non-coding RNA, 28 nt
Filed under: Mus musculus (house mouse)
Lineage: Eukaryota; Metazoa; Chordata; Mammalia; Rodentia; Muridae
Description: oocyte_clustered_small_RNA1078
Source: RNAcentral